UACGUGGGGUGCAAGCGUUGUUCGGAAUUACUGGGCGUAAAGCGCGUGUAGGCGGUCGAACAUGUCGGAUGUGAAAGCCCUUGGCUUAACCAAGGAAGUGCGUCCGAAACUAUUUGACUAGAGUGCGGGAGAGGAGAGUGGAAUUCCCAGUGUAGAGGUGAAAUUCGUAGAUAUUGGGAGGAACAUCGGUGGCGAAAGCGGCUCUCUGGAUCGCAACUGACGCUAAGACGCGAAAGCGUGGGGAUCAAACAGG
This 253-nucleotide ribosomal RNA is filed under the name uncultured bacterium. RNAcentral's name for it is "partial 16S ribosomal RNA". It matches the Rfam family "Bacterial small subunit ribosomal RNA", at positions 524 to 776 of the family's 1533-position model. The record is from RNAcentral.